This 253-nucleotide ribosomal RNA is filed under the name uncultured prokaryote. Its description in RNAcentral is "partial 16S ribosomal RNA". It matches the Rfam family "Bacterial small subunit ribosomal RNA", at positions 525 to 777 of the family's 1533-position model. The record is from RNAcentral.
ACGUAGGGUGCAAGCGUUGUCCGGAAUUAUUGGGCGUAAAGAGCUUGUAGGCGGUUUGUCGCGUCUGCUGUGAAAAUCCGGGGCUCAACCCCGGACUUGCAGUGGGUACGGGCAGGCUAGAGUGUGGUAGGGGAGACUGGAAUUCCUGGUGUAGCGGUGAAAUGCGCAGAUAUCAGGAGGAACACCGGUGGCGAAGGCGGGUCUCUGGGCCAUUACUGACGCUGAGGAGCGAAAGCGUGGGGAGCGAACAGGA